RNAcentral lists this ribosomal RNA (239 nucleotides) under uncultured bacterium. Its description in RNAcentral is "partial 16S ribosomal RNA". It matches the Rfam family "Bacterial small subunit ribosomal RNA", at positions 95 to 334 of the family's 1533-position model. The record is from RNAcentral.
CCGGCGCACGGGUGCGUAACGCGUAUAGAACCUACCUUUUACAGGGGAAUAGCCCAGAGAAAUUUGGAUUAAUGCCCCAUAGUAUUAUAGAGUGGCAUCAUUUUAUAAUUAAACAUUUAUGGGUAAAAGAUGGCUAUGCGUUCUAUUAGCUAGUUGGUAAGGUAACGGCUUACCAAGGCAACGAUAGAUAGGGGUCCUGAGAGGAUGAUCAGCCACACUGGAACUGAGACACGGUCCAG